Long non-coding RNA from Cyprinus carpio (common carp), 923 nucleotides. RefSeq lists it as uncharacterized. Lineage: Eukaryota; Metazoa; Chordata; Actinopteri; Cypriniformes; Cyprinidae. The record is from RefSeq and is a predicted model, not a curated record. The transcript has 5 exons.
GCUGAUGUCGGUGGUAGUUUCCAAACUCUUGAUUUCUCCAUGCCCUUUGUUUUUCCUGUAGCUAUAACUAAACUGCUUGCUUUUCACUCAAAGUCAGCUUCCUCGUCUUCAUCCUGGUUUGUGCGUGUCAUCAUCAAAUGCAAGACUCUGAACGCAGAAGCAAUGGAUAUAACUGAUACUACACAUUUCCUGCUUUUAAUAUCUGAAGAAUUAAUGCAACAGGACACAGCUGAACACUUAAGACCUGAAGGGGUAACUGUCCCAAUACUUCUGCUCACAUCAGAUAGAGGACAAACUCUAAAAGUGCUGAUCUUCUUAGCAGCGCAGCAGCGGUUUCUGAUGAGUUUGUACAGAGCGACCGCAGGGAUGACCAGCGCUGGAACACCCGACAGAAUGAAGAUGAUCGCGUAAAUCCAGUCCGGAUACGACUUCGUUUCCAGUGUGGGGAAAUUCUCCUGGAGACAGUUAUCAUUAAUAUAAUGAGUUUCCUACAGGAAUGAAGGCAGCCAUGCCAUGGGAUGUGCGUACCGACUGCGGGUCCCAGGCGAUGUAGGUCAGCUCUUUACUGACGGUGGUGACGAAGUAGAAGAGGAAGAUGACCAGCACUAUGAGCGGACUGACGAGUCUCCACGUGGCCUGCCAGAAGAAGUUGGGCUUGUGACCGAUCAUGAACUUGAUAUCGUCGUUGAAUCUACACCGAAUCAACACACAAAUAUCAACAGGCUACAGCCAUCAUCUCACAGAAGGCGAUGAUCAGCAAAGGAAUGGAUCCAGCAAAGCCGUCGAACAGAGCCAGCCAAUAUUCACCUGAACCCUGAGCGAAGAUAAUGGCCAGACCGAACGAGACGAGACACACCAGACCUGAAACACACACACACACAGACCGAGACCUUCACGUGUGAUCAUCAGUGGAGACGGCUAGA